Molecule: ribosomal RNA, 999 nt
Filed under: Microbacterium trichothecenolyticum
Lineage: Bacteria; Bacillati; Actinomycetota; Actinomycetes; Micrococcales; Microbacteriaceae
Description: bacterial SSU rRNA
Rfam family: Bacterial small subunit ribosomal RNA
Source: RNAcentral
CGCCGCGUGAGGGAUGACGGCCUUCGGGUUGUAACCUCUUUUAGCAGGAAGAAGCGAGAGUGACGGUACCUGCAGAAAAAGCGCCGGCUAACUACGUGCCAGCAGCCGCGGUAAUACGUAGGGCGCAAGCGUUAUCCGGAAUUAUUGGGCGUAAAGAGCUCGUAGGCGGUUUGUCGCGUCUGCUGUGAAAUCCCGAGGCUCAACCUCGGGCCUGCAGUGGGUACGGGCAGACUAGAGUGCGGUAGGGGAGAUUGGAAUUCCUGGUGUAGCGGUGGAAUGCGCAGAUAUCAGGAGGAACACCGAUGGCGAAGGCAGAUCUCUGGGCCGUAACUGACGCUGAGGAGCGAAAGGGUGGGGAGCAAACAGGCUUAGAUACCCUGGUAGUCCACCCCGUAAACGUUGGGAACUAGUUGUGGGGACCAUUCCACGGUUUCCGUGACGCAGCUAACGCAUUAAGUUCCCCGCCUGGGGAGUACGGCCGCAAGGCUAAAACUCAAAGGAAUUGACGGGGACCCGCACAAGCGGCGGAGCAUGCGGAUUAAUUCGAUGCAACGCGAAGAACCUUACCAAGGCUUGACAUACACCAGAACACCGUAGAAAUACGGGACUCUUUGGACACUGGUGAACAGGUGGUGCAUGGUUGUCGUCAGCUCGUGUCGUGAGAUGUUGGGUUAAGUCCCGCAACGAGCGCAACCCUCGUUCUAUGUUGCCAGCACGUAAUGGUGGGAACUCAUGGGAUACUGCCGGGGUCAACUCGGAGGAAGGUGGGGAUGACGUCAAAUCAUCAUGCCCCUUAUGUCUUGGGCUUCACGCAUGCUACAAUGGCCGGUACAAAGGGCUGCAAUACCGUGAGGUGGAGCGAAUCCCAAAAAGCCGGUCCCAGUUCGGAUUGAGGUCUGCAACUCGACCUCAUGAAGUCGGAGUCGCUAGUAAUCGCAGAUCAGCAACGCUGCGGUGAAUACGUUCCCGGGUCUUGUACACACCGCCCGUCAAGUCAUG